CUGCAGCCCGAGUGGUGAUCGAUUUUAUUGAGCCUAAAGCGUCCGUAGCCGGACUAGUAAACCCUUGGGUAAAUUGGGCAGCUUAACUUUCCAAAUUCCGAGGGGACUGCUAGUCUUGGGACCGGGAGAGGUCAGAGGUACUCAAGGGGUAGGGGCUAAAUCCUGUAAUCCUUUGGGGACCACCAGUGGCGAAGGCGUCUGACUAGAACGGAUCCGACGGUAAGGGACGAAACCCUGGGGCGCGAACCGGAUUAGAUACCCGAGUAGUCC
RNAcentral lists this ribosomal RNA (270 nucleotides) under uncultured archaeon. Its description in RNAcentral is "partial 16S ribosomal RNA". It matches the Rfam family "Archaeal small subunit ribosomal RNA", at positions 477 to 747 of the family's 1478-position model. The record is from RNAcentral.